UAAGGAAUAUUGCGCAAUGGACGAAAGUCUGACGCAGCAACGCCGCGUGCGGGAAGAAGGGCUUCGGCUCGUAAACCGCUUUUCUGUGGGAAGAGCAAGGACGGUACCGCAGGAAUAAGUCUCGGCUAACUACGUGCCAGCAGCCGCGGUAAAACGUAGGAGGCGAACGUUAUCCGGAUUUACUGGGCGUAAAGCGCGUGCAGGUGGUCUGUUAAGUCGUGCGUGAAAGCUCCCUGGCUCAACCGGGAGAGGUCGUGCGAUACUGACGGACUGGAGACAGAGAGAGGCAAGUAGAAUUCCGGGUGUAGUGGUGAAAUGCGUAGAUAUCCGGAGGAAUACCAGUGGCGAAGGCGGCUUGCUGGCUCUGUUCUGACACUCAGACGCGAAAGCAUGGGGAGCGA
RNAcentral lists this ribosomal RNA (401 nucleotides) under uncultured bacterium. Its description in RNAcentral is "bacterial SSU rRNA". It matches the Rfam family "Bacterial small subunit ribosomal RNA", at positions 355 to 771 of the family's 1533-position model. The record is from RNAcentral.